Molecule: long non-coding RNA, 1576 nt
Organism: Helianthus annuus (common sunflower)
Lineage: Eukaryota; Viridiplantae; Streptophyta; Magnoliopsida; Asterales; Asteraceae
Exons: 3
Source: RefSeq, a predicted model, not a curated record
AAAUAAGCUAUGUGUUAAUGGAGAAUGAGCAUAGUUGACUUUCUUUUGAAACAAAAACUGCCGCCCAAAUUCCCAGCUCUUAAACAACGCGGCUUGCUUUCAAAACAUGCUGAUUUUUCGUGACAUGUCAGUGAUUGAAGUUUCCAUUCUUAUGUUAAUCAACGAACCUAGACGCAUUCUUAAUCGGAUUUCGCUAUACCGUGUUUCGGAAACUUCCGCAAAUUUCGAACAAGAUUGUCGGACGCGUUUUGAGUAAACCUCAACCUCUUCGCCUAUAAAUCGAAGCACUCGGCUCCUGUGAUCGUUACAUCCCCAUCGCUCACACCAUCUUUUCUUCACCACAAUAACAUCUCGACACCACCACAACCUCUUUGCCAAUACCUUUGAACCUUGUCGGAGGCAGCUAGUCGUCACCGGAGAGGAACCGAUGUUGCCAGACUCGCCGGAGAAACCCGUAAACCAUCGGAGUUCAGUCGGGGAACCAAGCUCGCCAAAGUUCACGUCACGAGUCGUCACCUUUCGGUUAACCUCUCACGUUCGUCCUUUUGGAUUUAUUUACUCGUGCGUUAUUACAAGAAAUCGCAACGCAAUCUAAGGAACUGCACUUACAUCCGCGCGUGGGAGCAACACUGGACUAGGGGGACCUGAAGUGGUAUGGUCCCAAAUGCUGCAUCAAUCAUACGCACGUUGGACCCUAACCACACUCAACCAUCAAAACUCAGCCAGUUCCAAGACUCGUGCACAAGACCUAACCACGUACGCACAACCUUAACAAGCUCAUGGUAAUGCGCCAGUACAAACAGCAACUGACUGCAGCCAAUCAGCAUGCGCCAGGUUUGACCAACCAAUUUCCACGACGAACAAUCGUGGGAUAUUCACUGUUAUAUUAUCUCUACUCGCAACAUGGCCAGCAAAGCUCUCGCGCCUCGGCGACAGGUAAACAUAGAAUUAAUAAUCCUCAUUUUCCCAACACUCCUAAUAAGUCUAGUGCUCCUCUCAGCGCUUGCACUCGUGAGCAACACUAGACUGGGGGACUUGUAGAGGUAUGGUAUUGGACCCGACCCGAGCGGUCAGACUUUCCCGUUACUUAUUGCCUUUAUAUUAAUUAUUUAUUAUUGUGCUGACUAACCUAAUCCGCGAAGCCUAGCGCGUUGUAGUUUACACUACACUAGGUUGUGGGCUUGUAGAGAUAACCCCUAACUGGGCCUGGCCCAUUGAGGUUAGGGGAGGCCCAUAUCCCCUAUAUAAAGAGGUGUUCACCUCAUUAUUAGGGCACAGGAUAUGGAGCCGUCACACUUUUGUUACUGGAAACAGGGGAUUCUUUCCCCUACCGGUCAUCUCUACCGCUCCACUUUAUUGUUUUCUCCAUUGCAGAUCUAGGUCCAAGAGGAAGAACAAGGUGUGAUUCUUCACCCUCAUGGAGAAAGCGGUCCAAUCAUCCCGGCGGUGAUUCCGUGUUUCAACAUCUUUAAAUUUUAUUUUAGAUAUUCAACUAUUAUUCAUUUAUAAACGUUCUGUAACUAAUUAUUCAAUUAAAUAUUAAAUAACUUUAUGAACGUUCUGUAAGUAAUUAUUC